UAGCCGUAAACGAUACUCGCUAGGUGUCGGCCACGGUGCGACCGUUGUCGGUGCCGUAGGGAAGCCGUGAAGCGAGCCACCUGGGAAGUACGGCCGCAAGGCUGAAACUUAAAGGAAUUGGCGGGGGAGGCACAACAACGAGUGGAGCUUGCGGUUUAAUUUGGAUUCAACGCCGGGAAGCUCACCGGAUAAGACAGCGGAAUGAUUGCCGGGCUGAAGACUCUGCAUGACUAGCUGAGAGGUGGUGCAUGGCGUAGACGUCU
Molecule: ribosomal RNA, 263 nt
Filed under: uncultured archaeon
Lineage: Archaea
Description: partial 16S ribosomal RNA
Rfam family: Archaeal small subunit ribosomal RNA
Source: RNAcentral